Molecule: long non-coding RNA, 1724 nt
Organism: Hippocampus comes (tiger tail seahorse)
Lineage: Eukaryota; Metazoa; Chordata; Actinopteri; Syngnathiformes; Syngnathidae
Exons: 2
Source: RefSeq, a predicted model, not a curated record
UUCAGGUACAGCGGUCACUACAGUGGACAGCUUAUCAGGUUACCGGUUGUCAUUAUUAGUGCACGAAAGGGUUAAUUGAAUCAUUACAAGUCCAAUUGUUUUAAUGGUCUAACUCAGCCUAAUGGUAUGUUGACUUACAAUAAUAUAAAAUACACUUUUUUUUUAGGAAUAAAACAGCUAUGUUGGAGAAAUAAUUCAGAUCUGAUUGAUUAGCAGUACCCAUAUGUUCUGUUUUUGUGUUUAUAUUGACUUUUUUUUUUUUAAAUGGACAAAUAAUGAUGUCUAACGUUGGUUUAACGCAUUCACACCCGAAUAUAGAAAAUAAAAAAGGAUAUUGCAUCAAGUGCUAAUGGAUACAGAAGGCCAUCUGCACAAGCUUCAUUUAAGCAAAAUAAAUAUGGAAGGAAGCGGAUGUUUUUUAUCAGUGCGGCUUGGAAAGCAGCCACGUGCUACUGCGAGACAUUCGCCUUCGCAGGAAAUUGUAUUGCCACUUGAUAUUCCAAGCUGGUUAGAGGUAUUAACCAGAGACCGGCACGUGCUUAUCACAGCAUUUUUUUUUUCUUUUUCGAACGAACAUCAUGUUCUCUUCAUGGGACUUAAUGACCACAAACAUCACUUGCAUGCACUUUUAUUGCCAUGCAAACACAAACGAAAGCUGCUCAUCAGGAUUUUUUGGAUUGCAAAAUGUGCUGAAUGGCUACUCGAUAUUUCAUUAUUCAUCAGGGCUAACGGCUUCAUACGUGUCCCUGUAAGCACAGCGCAAAUAGCGUUUUUUUUUUUACAUUUGUUUUUGUCGGUCUGUUUGAUUGCAAGGAGAUGAGUGCAGCAUUUGUUCCGACAGCGCUACAUUGCUCCUUAGGUCAAACGUAAUAUUCAAUAAUAUCCAUAUUCGAUUUGGAUGCUGUCUCCUUUGUUUGUGUGUUCUUUGGAAAACACACUGUGAUUUGUAUGAUUUCUUUAUAGGUGCUUCAAAGUUUGUUUUUUUUUUUGUGUGUGUGCAUGUGUGUGUGUAUACGUGCAUUUUCAAGUCGUGUUUCUUGGUAACUUUGUCUAUUCCUCCUCAGUGAACAAUAAUUUCACAUCUGCCACUUGUCUUUUAAGAGGCGAUCUGGUUGUGGGAGUGAUGUUUGUCCACACAAAGUGUGCAUGUCCUACUGACACGAAGAAGCAGCACUCCCACUAAAUCCAAUGACUCACCAGGUGACUGCCCUUGAUUGGAAUUUCAUAAUUUAAUCGGAAUAUUUUUAAAAGAGUCCACCUACACCCUUUUUCCAAGAACAGCCAGUCAGAACAUUUGGAGAUCUUAGGGAACACUGAUGACCACAUUGAAGCAAGAAGGAGAAAAAUCUGCGAAUAUUUUGUGGUAAGUUGGGGCAUUUUUUUUAAUCCAUCCAUUUUAUUGUAUUGGAUUUCAUGGCAGUUUGAGAUGAUAUAAACUCUCACGUCACAACAAGGGAUUUUUUUUUUUUGACCCAUGUAAUAGUGUGACAGCCCCCGAUUAUUAGAAAUGUUCGAUUAAAAUGUACUUUUAUUACAAGAUUCUCGAAUAACUAUCUAUAAAUAAUAAUAUAUAAUGAUGGUUAUUAUUUUAUUAUUAUUUACUUGUGUGGGCGUGACUGUCUCUUAGAAGGACUUAUCUGGGACCCUAAAAUAUUUGUCAAUUUUUGCGAGCAUAGAUGAGAUUGGAAGUAUACGUUCAAGCCCCACAAAAGCAAAAAAAAAAA